UUAAAUUCCUCUAAAAACCCCGCUCUAAAAAAUUAGGGAUAAUGAUGCUCUAAGGUUUGGCAUGGUUACCGGAUAAGAAGACUAUGUUGAGAAUAAUGCUUGGAAAUGAAAUUUUUAUUAGAAGUUAUAUUUCUUGUGGAAGCAACCCGAAGUAAUUGCUUUGAAUAUGCAUCUUUUGUCAUGAUUAACAUUUUUACUGGAUUUUUUUUUAACUUAACAUAAUAAAAGGAUAUACAAAACAAGAUUACAAACCAAAACAUAGUUCUUUUACCAAAAAAAAAACAAAACAAAGUUCAAACAACCGUUCCACGUGAGUAACGUGAGAGUUGGCGUAAUAAUAGUACUUACUUUUCUUUUUCACUCAAACCAAAUCUAGUUAAAAUCUCGGGAAACAGGACUGGUGCGAAAGGAGAAGACUUUUCCAAGAAGACACGCGUCUAUGCAUGAAUGGUCUGUUAUUCUCAUUAAAUACACAUCAAUGGAGGCUAACCUAUCCACGAUAUUUAGAUUUAGAGAGAACAAAUCUUUGCCAGAUAUGGUAACUGUUGUCUCUCUAUCUCUCUUUCUUCUUUCUAUCUUUUCAAUUGAGAGAGAGAGAAGAGAAGAGAAGGUCCGAGGAGGAGACCAAAUAUGUUACGGCGGCCUCUGACUCGCUUGGUGCAGGUCGGGAACUGAUUGGCUGACACCGCCACGUGGCUUUCCAUGGUUGGCUUGUGAGCAGGGAUCGGAUCCCGCCUUGUAUCAAGUGAAUCCGAGUCCGACGUGAAAGAAAAAAAAGUCUUACAACUUUCAGAUCUGACACACUCAUCAAAUAUCUUGUAAUUGGGGAUUUAUUCUUCUUUGUUAAUCUUUUAUUUAGUUUUGACGCAUGAUGAUUAAUGGCUAUGCUCUUAAAAUUUCAGGAUCUAAGGUGUUUCUUAGCUAUAGAUCUCGUAUUUGAAUUAUUCAUAGGUUAAAGAUUGGUUCUUUGAGUUAGAUUUUUGUGAUGCACACUCAUGUGCUGAUUCUGAAUCUCGAAGCUUUAUGCUUAAUGGGGGUGUUGAGACUUUUGAAUCUCAGGAUUAUGAUUGUUGCUAAUGUAUGACCGAGAGAAUCUUUUUGGUGAAUGACAUAAUAAAGCUGGAUUGAACAGAGGUGGAGAAAGAUGUAGUUGCACUCGAAAUACUUUAUUUGAAGGUGAGUAUGGGUUUAUUUUUGUCAAUCUGAUUCUUUUUUCCUUUACCCUAAAAUUACUUUAAACCUUUGUUUUAAUUAUAAAAGUCACGCAUGGCUAAACGCUUUAAUCCUCUAAACCCCUGGUUUCGUUUAUAUACUCUCUUCUCUGAUGUCAACACACCGUUAGUAGUAGAGUUUCCUAUAAUUUGAAUAAUCUUCUUUUGGUGUUGCUUUAAUCACAGUUGUGGCUUAGGAGUUCUUGCCUGAUCGGAUUUAACAACGCACAAUUUUUAAGGUUAAAUUACUAACCAUCCAUUUCUAAGUUCUUCUAUGCUCUUCUAACUUAUCAGAAUACAAUGCUGAAAAAUCUGAAUCUUAUCAGAAUAUGUCUGUAAUAGUACAAGAAAAAUACUCCUUCCGUUCCUAAAAGAUGUAUGUUCUGGAAAAAAAAUUUGUUUUAAAAAGAUACAUUUUUUACUUUUUCAAUGUAUGAUUUUAUGAAAAAUUGUAAGUUUCAAAAAAAUUAAUAGUGUUUAUUGAAUUUCUAUUGGCUUAAAGUUAUGAAAAAUUGUUAUUCACAAAAAACAAUGCAUAUUUAAUGAGUUUUCUUAAUAUAUGUGAAAAAUCUAGAAUAUACAUCUUUUAAAAACGGAGGGAGUAUGUAACUUUGGACCAAAGUUAAAUGACAUCAUUGAAAUCGGAUUCGAGCAAUUUAGUCAAAAGGUUUUAGGUGCAACACUUCCUGCCCCGUCAAUUACCCAUUAACUAAUAUCUUUGUUCUUUUUUUUUUCUUGAAAAUAUACUUAACUACUGACUAAAUUCGGUUUAAUCCUUCAGUUGUCGCCAUGUACAAACAAUGAUAUUCAAGGACAGGACCGAACUCCAACCUAAGGGCUUAAUAUUAGAUUAUUACACUGUUUUCUUUCUCCUCUUUACCUGUAUUAUUUUUGAGGUAAAAAAACAUUUUUUUUUCAUUUUAUUAUUUUUAAUUAACAAAAAAACGUGUGCAAGAGAGCAUCUUAUUUAAAAAUGGACUCUCUGUACCUACCAAUGACUGACUACUUGUAAGCAUAAGUUGCCAAUAUAUAUCUGAAAAAGUAGAUGCUCUA
Long non-coding RNA from Brassica napus (rape), 2264 nucleotides. RefSeq lists it as uncharacterized. Lineage: Eukaryota; Viridiplantae; Streptophyta; Magnoliopsida; Brassicales; Brassicaceae. The record is from RefSeq and is a predicted model, not a curated record. The transcript is spliced from 2 exons.